GGCAUAUAAAUAUGUAAAUAUAUAAGUAAAUCAUAAUAUAUAUAUAGAAAUAAUAUACACGCAUAAAUGUAAAAAAAGGAAGUAAGGCCUACUUAUGAUAUUUUUUCUAUACGUAGAUACAUAUAUAUAUAUAAUAAUCUUUUAGACAUAAAAAAAUAAAAAAAUGAAAAAAGAAAAAAAAAUACACAAAUGAAAUAAAGAUAAUAAUAUCAACAAGAAAUAAUAAUACUGUAUAAUAAUACUAAAAUAUUUGAUUUAAUGGGGAGAAUAAGUAUAGUAGUUGAUUUAGGAUCAAAUCGAAAAGAAAACAAAAUUUUAGGGCCGUAAUUAAAGAUAAAAGAGACAAAAAAGACUAAAUUAUAACGCGGAUAAAAAGCAGAGGACCGAAUAGGAAAAUAACCCCUGUUGAUUAAACGACGCUGUUCCAACGAAGUCAAAGCGCAUGGUCUAAGGACCAAACUGAAACAGAAGCAAAAUUCGAUGCCAAAAUUGCAAAUAUAAAAAAAAACUGCAUUGAAUACGCCGCAAAGGAGGGAGGACCUAUGGCGCAAAUAACCCAUGCGCUAGAAAAAAAAAGCGGAUCCUAGGUGGUCGGGUCGGGUCAACAUGCGGAUCAUCCCCACCAAAACGACGUCGUUUCAUGUUUAAUAUAAAUAUUUAAAAAAACCAAAAAAACAAAUCAGUUUCAUUAUUUAAAAAAAAGAGAGAGAGAGCUCUCCCCUUUUCUCUCAAGCCCCAGGUCCGGCCAUGGGUUUCGGCAAUCCUUCGCAAUCGACGCCGUCGUGCCGGCCACCGUACACGGUGGCCGGAAAAUCUAAAAAGGUACUAUUUUUCCUUCUUUUUUUUAUAUGUGUAUAUACAUAUAUAUUUUACACAAAUCAAAAUAAAAAAUAAAAUAAAUAAAUAACAAUGAACAAAAAAGAUUUGGAAACUAAAACCUUUUCUCCGUUUUUAUUUCUCUUUGUUUUUUUGCUUUUUCAAAAGGAAAUCCCCCUUUUUUUUACAAACAUAAAGAUCCGCCCUCCUCCCUUUACAGAUUUUAAUGGCUUUUAUAGCCAAAUAAAAGGAUAAUAACCUAAAACCAAAAGUCUAUUCUAUUUUGUGUUCUAUUUUUAUCACUGUUACUGUUGCUGCUGUUUUGUUUGCAGGCCAUGAGUCAAUGAGGCAAGUAUUUGCCGUUUUAGUGCAAGGCUGACAAACGGUGGCAGACAUCGGGCGACAAACUAGCUACGGAGGCACGUGGGUGACGGCAGAGGGUGCGACGCAAGGCAGUAGCUAGGGUUUCUAGGUUUCUAAUUUUUUGCUGAAACUAGUUAAGGUUUUGGGCUUAUUGGGCCCUGGGUCCUUUGUAAUUUUUGGGUUUGUUUGGGUUUGAUUUGGGCCCGGGUGGAAAAUGGGUCGUACAGUAUAUAUUACAACCAUGCAUAUACGAACAUGGCAGCUUACUGAUCUUUCAGCAUUAUUAUCAAGAGUGAUAUAUGUUCUGUAAUGAAUAGAAUGAAAUUGGAGAAGGAAGAAAACCUUUACCCAUUAAAACUUUUUUACCUUCUCUUCCAAACCAAUGACUUCAGAAGCCAAUAUAUUAGCACGUUCAUCAGUUGCAUUACAUUCCAGUUGUGCAUUUGCAUAUUCC
This 1633-nucleotide long non-coding RNA is filed under the name Gossypium barbadense (sea-island cotton). RNAcentral's name for it is "long non-coding RNA (GBAR_LNC018709)". The record is from RNAcentral. Lineage: Eukaryota; Viridiplantae; Streptophyta; Magnoliopsida; Malvales; Malvaceae.